Molecule: non-coding RNA, 22289 nt
Organism: Podarcis lilfordi (Lilford's wall lizard)
Lineage: Eukaryota; Metazoa; Chordata; Lepidosauria; Squamata; Lacertidae
Source: the annotation of a GenBank genome assembly
AGCAUCACCAUGUAGGUCUGGGAAAGGCCCCUGUCUGCAACCCUGGAGAUGCCUGUCAGGCAAGGUAGACAAUACUAUGCUUGUUUGACCAAUUGUCCAACUUGGUGUAAGGCAACUUCCUAUUUUGUUAAAACAUAGCUGUUUGUGUGUGCCUCCUCAAUCAGUUGUUGUUGUUUAGUCGUUUAGUCGUGUCCGACUCUUCGUGACCCCAUGGACCAGAGCACGCCAGGCACAUCUGUCUUCCACUGCCUCCCGCAGUUUGGUCAAACUCAUGCUGGUAGCUUUGAGAACACUAUCCAACCAUCUCAUCCUCUGUCGUCCCUUCUCCUUGUGCCCUCCAUCUUUCCCAACAUCAGGGUCUUUUCCAGGGAGCCUUCUCUUCUCAUGAGGUGGCCAAAGUAUUGGAGUCUCAGCUUCACGAUCUGUCCUUCCAGUGAGCACUCAGGGCUGAUUUCCUUAAGAAUGGAUAGGUUUAUUCUUAGUGCAAUGGCAGAAAGUUUUACUAACUUGAGUAGCUACAGGUUUGCCAUUAUUUCUGACUGUUUCAUGCAUCACUCCUAUUUCAGAAUAUUAAUAAGAAAAAGGGUAUCAGUUUAUUAAGGAACAAGCUCAUUCCUCUAUAAUGCUUAAAAAAACAACAUUACUGCAACCUCCUUGCUUCCCCCAAAUUCCCUGCUUUUAUUGAUUUAUGGUGCACAAUGACUUUAUUUCUAAUUAAUUCUGCUCAGUAUUCUAAAUUAUUUAUAAGCCUACAGUUGUGAUAUACUUUUGUUUACUGCACCACAACUCUUCCACCUGCAGUAAACACUAAAGGACUCAGAAGAGGGAAAAUGCAGUUCAAGUGCUUUAUGCAAACUAAAAAAAAAUGCAGCAUUUUGCAAUUCAUUAAAAUGCUCUUUCUAUGAAUGUAAUUGGAUCCAUUUCAGUUCUGCACCUGAAUAAAAUGUGCAGUGACAGCAGAAGAGCUUGCUGUAUUGUUCAAUUUUAUAUAAUAAUGUCCAGUUGUUCCCCCUUAAAACAGUUUUCAAAGACUUUAAAGGACUUUUUAAAACUAGGUCUUAAUUUCUGAACAAUUUUGGGGCUUGGAGGCAUGUUUGGAAAUCUAAAUUUGGUGUGAGAACCACAAAAUGCCUGUUUAACUUUUUAAAAAAGAAAUGGGAGGGGCAGAGAGACUUGGCAGGCAUGAAAUAAGGUGUCUGAGGGCCUUGUGGUAGUGCAACUAUUACAGGUUUUGUGUGCCAAAAAAUGUUAAUAUUGAUGAAGAAAAAAUGUUCUAACAAUGACAUCCUUUUUCAUGUCAAUCUUUGGGACAUUAAUAGAUAAUCUUGAGUAAUCAUAAUAUAGAUAUGAUUUUUCAAAUGUGAAUUCAACCUCUCUUUAUAGGAAAGAUGUUGCAUAUUAUAUCCCACUGGUUGUUUGUAAGGCUGGUCUCUAAAAAAAUGUAAUUUUGUAUUGAAGCUUUAGGCAACUUCUUAGAAGAUAGAGCAAUAAACUCAGUCUUCUUACCUUUUCAUUUGGUUGUCAGAUGAAACAUAAAGGGAAAGGGUAAAGGGACCCCUGACCAUUAGGUCCAGUAGUGACCGACUCUGGGGUUGCGGCGCUCAUCUCGCUUUAUUGGCCGAGGGAGCCGGGUCAUGUGGCCAGCAUGACUAAGCCGCUUCUGGCAAACCAGAGCAGCGAACGGAAAUGCUGUUUACCUUCCCGCCGGAGCGGUACCUAUUUAUCUACUUGCACUUUGACGUGCUUUCGAACUGCUAGGUUGGCAGGAGCAGGGACCGAGCAACGGGAGCUCACCCCGUCACGGGGAUUCGAACCGCUGACCUUCUGAUUGGCAAGUCCUAGGCUCUGUGGUUUAACCCACAGCGCCACCCGCGUCCCUUGGUGAUGAAACAUAAUGCAGAGCAAAAAUUACUCUUACAGAUCAGCACAAUGUAAGCUAAAUAUAGUCCAACAGUCAUAUAUUGUCCCCUUCCAGGUGCUUGACAAAUCACUUGCUCUUGCAGCUUUGGACAAGCAGCAAAACGUAGAAGUUUAUCAAGCCCCUGAUAUGUUACCACAGUCAGCAUGAUUAGAGUUGUGCAGACCUGCAUUAUUAUGAGCAAAUCUUUCCAUGUUGUUAGAGGGCAAUAACAUAUUUUGGUUGUAUCAAAACAUACAUGCACGUAUGAUUGGAAUAACUGGAAUGGUUACAUGCUUUUGGAGUGCUUUUUAAGCUUGGACUUAAAUUGUGAAGGUUGAGUGGCUAGCUGCCUAGCCCUGAGCUAUCAUGCAGAGAGCUAUAAGAAUACAUUAAGCUUCAUCCCUAGAUUGCAUUUAAGACUCUUACUUAAAUUCUUUGCUGGGUCAGCUCUAGAAUAAACACCUAGCAAGGCUAGCUCCAUAUGCCUCUUAUCCCAGUGACAAUCACAAAGUUUACCAUUUAUUUUGAUGGAUGAAAAUGGCACCUUAGCGGCCUGAUCCAUAACCAAUUAUGUCAAAGUACUUGGGCUUAGAUCAGUUUAUUCUUACAGGUUUCAAGAGCCAUCAUUAGGUGAAGAUUUAUGCCCAUUGAAGCCUAUAAGAACUUAAGGUGAACUUAUCAGUUAAUAGGUUACAGAUUGGUUGUAAAAUAUUUGUGUGCUUCAGUGACCACCAUAUAAAUAUCAGGAAGCAAAUUUCUCUUUGUUUGCUUGCUUAUUUUAAGAGUUUUUAAAGGCCACUUAGUAAAAAAACAAACAACCUCUUACUCAUUUGACGGUGAAAAAUAAUUAUUAAAAAAUAUAGAUAAAAUCAGCAGUACUGAAAUGCAAGUAUACAUAAUAAAAUUACAUGCUUGGAUAGGCUUGCUGAAGUAAAACCUUUUUUUAGCAGGCAUCUAUAGUGAAGGCUGCUGCCUGAGGCAGGAAGUCCAGGACAUGAGUGCUGCCACACUAAAAAAAUCAAGUCUUUGCAGAUGCAGUACGAAUAUUACAUGGCCCUUUAAAAAGUGCAUGCUCUGCAGAUUGACGCAUUUGAUAGUUCUCUGCCUGGGCACUUGAAUUAUCGUAGGACAACGUUAUUACGUUUAAAUUUCUUUUCACAAUGCUACAGUUGCUUCAUACCCACACCCCAGAGAAAGUUACACUGGAGACUAAGGCAGUGAAGUCAGUAUUUCAUAAGUGCACAGCCGGAUGGCAGGCAGCCCUCUCCUUUGACCUGUGACCAUGCCUGUGUGGCACCAGUCCUGUACCAGCAGAGUGCCAAUCUCACCACUGACAGUAAAGUUGCCAGGUGCUCGGUUGCUACCUAAUAUCAUACCACCACCACCCCAUCAUGUCAACAGCGUGCAAAAAGAAUGUGACUUGAAUGUCCGGAAGUAUUUUUAUUAACUUUUCAGGCAAAAUCAGUGGAAACAGAAGAAUGCCUUAAUAAAAUAUUUGGAAAGCAGUUGCCAAAUGGGAAUGCUGUAAGGCAGAUUAAUCUGUGACUUUCAGGGGUAAAUGGUCUGAUCACAAUUCAAGUACAGUGGUGCCUCGGGUUAAGUACUUAAUUCGUUCCGGAGGUCCGUUCUUAAGCUGAAACUGUGCUUAACCUGAAGCACCACUUAUCUAAUGGGGCCUCCUGCUGCUGCCGCGCCGCCGGAGCACAAUUUCUGUUCUCAUCCUGAAGCAAAGUACUUAACCCGAGGUACUAUUUCUGGGUUAGCGGAGUCUGUAACCUGAAGCGUAUGUAACCUGAAGCAUCUGUAACCUGAGGUACCACUGUAUCAGGCUGAGCCCUUCUACAGCUUAUUCUAUAUGAGCACUUGAUAAACCUAGUGCAGCAGGCAGAUUUAAUUACCUGUACCCAUUACACAUUUUUCAGAGUUUACAUAUAGCUGAUGAUAUGGCAAAAAACAACUGGCUGUGGACAAUAUUUCCAAAGGUUAUUGCCACUGGAUUUAAUACAUAUUUUGCCAAAGCAUAAUAACUUCAAUGACUCUGACUCUUUAUUCAGAUUUAAUUUAUCACACAUUAUUAUGCUAGAGCUGCUGAUAUUUUUCCAGCUCUUGUUAUCUUUUGUUGUAGUAUGUUUUCUUAACUUAGUUACUUCCACAGGAAAAGCUGCAGCAGGAAUAUUUCUGUUGCACUUAACCUUCCUUUGAGCAAAGCCACCUCUACUGAUUAUGUAUUUUUUUUUGUCCUACUGCACUGCAAACUGACUUCUUUGUCCUUCACCUCAGGAUAGGUUGCUGCCAAUGUAAACUUCCUUCCCUAGUUCACGAAUACUUAAUGACGCCUAUAGUCUCUUCUAACUUGACCUAAAUUCCUGCUCUUACCAUCUGUGAUGGCCACCACCCUCACCUUUUAAGAUACACCGUCAAAUUAAGCUCGCAUGUUCACUAGUGUCUUUCGAGAAAUAGUGUGAGUGUGAAAGGGUUCCUCAGACCUAUUGCCUCCUUUUGUCCUGAAACACUUCCUACUCACCUGAUAAGUUACACAGCUUUGCCCAUCUAAGCGCCAGACUAUAAAUGCCUUUAACUGCAUGAGUGUAAUUAAAGUGCACAUUUAGUUAAUACAGAGCUGCAAGGGAGCCUGAGCAGCAUGAGAACUAUCAGAUAUGAUGGGGAGGGAGAAUUUUACCCUUUCCUCCUCUCAUGGUCCCACAUCACUGACAUGCAUAUCCACACCAUAAAUUUAAAGUACGUACAUUCAAUGCACAUUUAAAGCACAUGACUUCCCCCGAAGAAUCUUGGAAACUUUAGUUCCACCUCACAGAGCUACAAUUCCCAGCACCCUUAGGAAACUACACAAGAGUUUUUCACAUUAUAUUAAGCUCCAGCUCCUCCACUUGAUUGAGCACCCCAAAGCAUAAUUCUUCAUCCAAACACUCCUCUCUGUCUCUGUCUCUCUCUUUGAAAAGGAGUGUUUCUUCUAUGACACAUGUCCAGGAAUCACACAUUUGAGUAGGAUGCUGUAGGAUGACAGUGUAGUCAGGUGUGAGUUUGUUUAGCUAAUUCAGCAAAUUUUCGACAGUAGAGAACCAGCCUGGAAGUUAUAAUUGUUUUAUUUCUACAUUGUUACCCCACCCUUCUUUCAAGGAGCUCCGAGCUUAGGACUGUGCAUGAUUGUUCCCUUUAUUAUUAAAAAAAUAUAUAUUCAAAAUUGGGGGUUGUCUUAUACAUGGAUAGUGCAAAUUGUGGAUGGCCAAUUGUUGGCAUCCGUGAGCAGGAGAUUGUCAGCAGCGAUUGGGCGUGUGAUUGGUGGUUGCAUCAAGGCGUGCUGGCGAUUGCUGCUGCAGCAAUUGGGUGGGCGAUUGGCAGUGGCAGUCAGGUGGUUGAGCAUUUGUCAGCAAUCAAAAACUCUGGGCCAUCCCCCCCCCCCAAAGCUCAACAACUCUGGGCAAUCUCCCCCUAUUUCCUUAAUUUGGGGUCCCAAAAAAUACCGGUCGUCUUAUACACAGGGACGUGUUAUACACGGAAAAAUACGGUACAUUAGGCUAAGAAAGUGUCUUCAGUUUAACAAGUGGGACCUGCAAACCAUGCUGCUGUUCAGCAUUCCAAGAUACUCCCAUUACAUUUCCUACCCAUUCCUAACCUUAAUGUCCACCCCCAAAACAGUCAGUGCACUUAGUCCUUUGCUUCUUUUUUCCUAACUGUUUUUGGUACUUCUUCAAAUCCUUUUUGCUUUCUUGAGCCUCUUGGUACUUUGCUCUUGUGUGUAGAUGGUAUAACUUUAGAUACUGAAACACCAGCACUCACUCCUAAACAUUGAAAUAAGAGGAGCGAUGACACAUUAUUGUUACUUUCAUUACUGGUACAAAUACUCUGUAAACUGUGUGCUUUUCCACUUAAAGGACAAAAUUCAGUCAAUGGGAUUUGCAAGAACCCCUUUUCCACCCAAAGCCAAUAAAUCAUUUUAUCUAAAACUAACAUAACUCCUUCCCUCUUCAGGGCAUUUCAGGUUUAUCUUGUUAUUUCUCAUACAAUUAUCCAUAUAUAGAAAAGCGAGACUGAAAUGUUUAUUUCUUUAAAGUAUACCAUCUCCUUCACUGCUUAUUCAUCCUCUGAAACUGCAAUCAUCUGGGUCAACAUAAUCAUCUCCAUAGCAACCAAACUGAUAAAGAUACGUGUGUUUUCUUUCCAAAAAUACAGAAAAAAAAGAAUACCCAGAGGGAGAAUUUAUCCCUCCUUUGUUGUGCCUGUUUUCAAACUUUGUUAGCCAAUCAACAGGCAAAAAUAAGACAAUGAACAGAUGAAUUAAACAGUUUGUGAGUAGAGCACAAUUUGUUUUCCAACUUUUCUGGAGAGGGGUGUUUAUAAUGCAGCAUUGCUGGAAAUUAGUUAGAAUUAAUGAGUAGGGCUUAGUUUGAGGUAUAAGUUAAUCUUGUCAAAUGGUUUGACCCAGUGUAAUUAGCAGUGUUGAACAUCUGCUACCAUCAGUUUACUUCCACCUGUUCAUAUUUCUAAAUUGGUCUCAGGCUUCUCCAGUGAUCUGACUGUAACCAGCAGUUAAAUGACCUUUCUUUGGUAACAAUUGGAGGAAGUUGAGAGUGGAAAUAGGAAGGUUCUGCAAUUACAUACCACAAACAUUCUGGAAAUUCAUGUCAGUCUUCUAAUGAAGAUAAUGCACAUCUACUCCGUCACAGUGGGGUUGUUAAAAUUGUUUUGCCAGAAUGUUAAAGCACACAUUUCCCUUUUACUGGUUAUCAUCUGUAUACUAUGAAAAUUAACAGCACCAUGUAUAAGCAGCUUAAAAUAUAGAUGUUUACUUUUUACCUGCAUGUGUAUUUAAGUCAAGUUUCAUAUUGAUAAAGGGAGUUGAAAAGCUAAAGGCCAUUCUGGCAAUUAUUAUUUGUCACAGAACAGGGGUGACGCAUGAAACUUGUGGAAUCUGCAAAACACAUCUGUGUUAUUCCUUUUUGUUGGUGACACAUCUUCAUUAUUCCAUGUGUCAGAGUCACGACAUGAGAAAAUGAAAUAAUGUUAUCUAUUUUUCAACCGCAUCACUAUGGGAAAUGUGCAGACCAAUCUUAUCCAUGCUUACUUGGAAGUAAGUCCCACAGAGUUCAGGGGGACUUAAUCCCAAAGUGUAAAUAGAAUCUCAGCUUUAUUGUCAGCACUAUAGUAGAAAGCUAAAUUUCUGUUAAAGCACAGCACAUGUGACAAAAAUUACUAAAACAAAGGGAAGCAGUGGAUUGCAACUUCUCUCUAGGUUAUUUUGAAAGAAAAUCUGCCCCAUACUGCCUGUGUCUUGACUACAAAUGGAACAAAGGGUUGUUUUUAAUAUGCAAGGCUUCUCAACAAUUAUAUUGAUUGCUGCUUUAAGAGUUCUAAAUGCUAACACAUAGGAUGAAAAUAAUUAUAUUACCAGAUUAAAAUAAAUUAAACCUCCAGUUUUGUCCAGGUAUAUUAAUUGUGGACCCAGUGCCCAUUACUGUUAAAUGGAUGACAUCUGGGAAAUGAUGUUUCCCAGACUUUGACUUCAAAUGUUUUCUAUGUUGCUUGUUCAGGAUUGGGAACUGGAAUAAGUGUUAUGACAGGAUGUAGCCAUGUAGAAUGUGGUAAUUCUUACCCGUGUUUAUUUUAUGUAAUUUCACAUUUUAGCAGUGUCCCUUUUCAUAAAAUCCUUGGCGCAGAAAUUAAUGGCCUGGCUGUCGCAAGUUUGCAUAUGCUCCAACUACACCAGAUGCAACAGCAGGUGCUUUUCUUUUCUUUCCUUUCUUUUUUUAAAUUGGAUCAUAACCCAUUUCCCCAACACUGGAGUGCCAGGCUAGGCAAAACAAAGGACCUCUGAGAUAGCAAGGUGCCUCCAUAUGUCAGGUGCAGAACAGAAUAAAAGCUCAUUGGAAUCCAGAUCUAAGGAAGGAAUAGGUACUGGCAUACUUUCCUGACAAGGGAUCUAGUGCUUAGAAAUUUUGUUGCUUCCCCGACUACCAAGCAGGGAAAGACUGUGCAAAACUUACUUAAUAUGAGAAGGCAAAAUCAGGUUUGUUUGUUUUUUAUAAAAAGUAACAUGAAUAAAGAAAAGAAACAUGGUCCAAACUCUGGACUAAAUUACUUUCUCUAGAUACAAUGACUCUUGUAGCCUUGGAGAGCAAAUUUUAAGUUUGACACCUGCUGAAGAAGUGUAGUUAGGUUACACAAGCUGUAGAGACCAAUGACCCAAAAUGUAUGUUCAGUUGACCCAGAUAUGACAAACUGAAGGCAGCCAGGUAGAUAAUUUAGGAGUUACAUAAACUUUAAUCUUCCAGGUGGUGGAUCAAAGACAUGGUAAUAAGUAGCACAAUUAAGUCUACAUCACAGUUUCUCUGACUCAAAGACUAGUACACAAAAAGGUCAGGCAUAAACAUGGUUGUUUAUUUCCUACUAGGAUUUCCCCUGCGAAUCUCUUAACUAAAAGCAAUUAGAGCUGUAUACAUGCCUUCUCAAAAUUCCAACCCUAUUUGUGGCAGAGAAGUUGUGGGGGGUGGGUGGAAUAAUAAUAAUAAUAAUAAUAAUAAUAAUAAUACUGCAUUUAUUAAUUUAUACACCACUUGGUUGCCAAAUUGAAUUCUAGGCAGUUUACAUGUAUAAAACCAGUUAUAAAAACAUGGCCAUGCAUAAUGAAAAAAUACAAUGAAAUAAUUUCAUCCAACCUUCAAACAUUCAUAAUUAAGACCUACAAUAAACAAAGUGAUUUAAAUAGCAUACCAGUUAUACCAGCAGUUAAAACAAAGCUGGAGGUUCAGUCAAGAGGUCAGGAAUAUUUGUCUAAAUCAGGGGUUAGCAAACUUUUUCAGCAGGGGGCUGGUCCAUUGUCCCUCAGAACUUGUGAGGGGCCAGACUAUUUUUUUUGGGGGGGGGGAUGAACGAAUUUCUAUGCCUCACAAGUAACCCAGAGAUGCAUUUUAAAUAAAAGCACACAUUCUACUCAUGUAAAAACACCAGACAGGCCCCACAAAUAACCCAGAGAUGCAUUUUAAAUAAAGGGACACAUUCUACUCAUGUAAAAACAUGCUGAUUCCUGGAUCGUCCACGGGCUGGAUUGAGAAGGCGACUGGGCCGGAUCCAGCCCCUGGGCCUUAGUUUGCCUACCAAUGAUCUAAAUAGUUGUGCUUUCAAUACCUUCAAAAUUAUCCACGUUUCUUGGGGAUUUGGCUUACCAUUAACAGUUCCAGUAGUACUGUUUUUCUUUCUACCCUAAGUUUUAUUUUUGCUCCCUGGCUGCCAUUUUCCAUCCUCCACAUUUUUGUUAGGGGGCAGGCUUUUGUUGGGGGGGGGCAGAACCUCAGAUUUGUAUUGAUUUUUACUUAUUGAGGGUCAGCUACCCCCUGCCCCCCUUGGCUACACCCACGGGGGGGGGGCACAGGAAGGAAACAAGUUCAGAAGGGGGCUAUGGUCAGAAAAAGCUUGGGAAACACUGCCCUAGAAGACCUAGCAUAAUUCUAGAGCAAUAGAGGAGGAAAUGGUGACAGUUUCGUUGUCCUGGAAUUAUGUUAGGUCUUCUAGGGCAUUGUGGAGGGUGAAAAAUUAUAUAUACUGAAAAUACUGAAGCAAACAAUUGAUCUAUCUAGAUCGUUAUUGUCUAUAUAGUUACUGGCAGGAGGUCUCCAGGGUUUCAGAUGGAAGAUGCAAUGCAGAGUUGCAAUAAAACAUGAUAUCAAACAAAACCAUAAGAUAUUUAAGGUAUUUUCUGUCCUAGGGCAUUUCUGAUAUGACACUCAGCUCUACUUCUCUAUUACAAUUGAACCAAGUGAGGCUGUGCAAGCCCUUAACCAGUGCCUGAGUGCAUUGAUGAGGGCCAAUAUACUAAGCUUGAAUCCUAUGGAGGCACAAUGAGAGUGAGUGAGUGAGUGAGUGAGUGAAUGAGUACCAUGUGUAGGGGAAACCUACUGUGGAAUACAUUUGUAUUAUAAGGACAUAGGUUGAUUGGAUUGUACGAAUCUUCCCUACUUAUUGGCACCUUUGGUAAUUGCAAGGGUUUUUGGUUUGCUUUAUUGUUUAGAUUUACUGUUUGUGCUCCAGGGAUAAGUGGCAGCAGGACGUGGGAAUAUCCACUGGUGGGUCAGCAGUAGGAUGAGUUCCUGCAGGCAGUAGAGCAGCUGCAGAGUUGCUUAACCAUGCUGGCCCUUGUAUACUGGCCUAGCUUAACAGGGGAAAUGAAUUUAGGUAUUAGGCCAGCCAACACAUAGCCGCUAAGGGUUCAGAGUAUAUAAACCUUUUAGGUAGGGUCUGUCCCCCGGAGCUUUGAUGUAGACCCUGACCGAGAUGGUGCUGCGUCUUAGUCAGCUGGAGUCUUUCAGUUAUUAAUCCUUGGACCUCCCAAUAAUUGAAUGGAAAAGUAUUUUCUGUUAGUUUGCUUAAAGACAGUUUCACUGCUUUUUGGUGCUGUAUUUAAGCCUGCAAUUUAAUAAAAGCAUUGAACAAGAAUUGUGUUGUGAUUGCCUUUGAAUCCAAAAGAGCUCCUGCAUUUGGCAAAACACCAUGGACGGGAGAUUGGCAAAUUGCUAUUUCCAGAAAGGGGCUCCACUCCCUCUGGUUUACAGCCUGGGGCUGCUCCUGAACCACAUCUUUUUUACUAGUGGCUAGGAGCACUUUCUGUAAACUUUGGUAAGGCAACUGCAGUCCAAUCUAUGGACUGGAAUAGCUUGGCCACUGUGCUUCAGGGGUCUGUAACCUCAAAAUUAGAUCAUUCCAACAUCCUCUGUGUGGGGCUUCACUUGUGCUUAGUUUUGAAGGUACUGCUCCAAAAAUAUGUAGUGAUGGCCACAAAGGUGCAUGGCUUAGAACAGGAUUUGAGAAUUGAUGGAGGAUAAAGCUAUCAAUGGUUACUAGUUACUAUGGCUGUGUUCCACCUCCACUAUCAGUGGUAGUAUGCAUCUCUGUACCAGCCACAGGGAAUGGGAUUUAGGCAUGAUCCAACAGGGCUUUUAUUACAUUUUUAUUCUAGGUUUGGUUAGUAAAUAUUCCAGCACUGUCUGCAGGGCCGAUUUUAGCCACGUAUGUCAUGAUUGUUUGCAGAAAGGUUCGACAUUUCAUACUUUCUAAGGCUACAAGUAUUAUCAUUAUUUCUGUAAUGGCCAUUCGCAUUUUGAAAUGACAUUACAGGCGAACUUUAAUCUAUUGGAUCUUAGUUGCUUCUGUCCCUCUUAGUUCAGCAGAGCUGUUCUAGCAGUGCUCUGAAGCAUAUAGCCAUGAUAUUUUCAUUCUGUUUCCCAUAAUUUGUUUUCAGUAAAAGUUUGAUUUGCUCCAGGCAGCCAAAGAUUCCCGAGAAACAGAUGGUUUCCCCUCCCCCAAAGCAAAUUUCUAACGUGAGAAAAAAAGAUUAUCAUAAUUGUAAUAUAAUACACUACUCAGCAUAGUAGUGGAGUGUGCCACAAUUCUCGUGUUUUUACUUGCUUUUGUCUCCUCUGAGCACAAAAAGGAAGGAAAGCAACACAGAAUUACAAUUUUCUUCUUGGUGAAAAAGAACAGAUUGCAUUCAACUAUGAGGACAUUUCAAUUGUCAUCGCUGUCGUUAUUUUGUAAUGAGUUCUGUCUAAAAGGACCUAAUAGAGCAUUGUUGGGGGCGGCAUCGGCAGUGCAUACACACUUUUCUGUCACUCAAACAUUUGUUUUCUGCUGUUUUCCCAAACAUCAACAUCGCUAUUUGUCAAGUAUGUUUGUUUCCUAUACAGAAGGAACAGAACGGACUUGAAAUUAGGGUAGCGUUAGAAACUUUGGCACCUGCUCGUGUAGGGAAAUGUGUACAGAACAAUAAGUAACAGAAAUAAAGCCUGUAAAUCACUUUAAUAAAUAAUAAAGGUAGUAAUAAAAUGUAUUGCAGUUAUUUGUUUUUAAAAAGACAUUUAAACUUACGUUAGUAAUACAUUUAUUCAUUGAGAUACUGUCUUGAUUUGUAAGAAUUGUGAAUGGAAAGAGGCUAAUUGAAGGCAACUUUCCACCCCUCUUCACCUUCUUGCAUUUAGUUGUACACCUGUUUCACUUUUUAUAAAAAAAGCUCCAGGAAAUGGGGGGGUGGGGACCCACCUAUAUAGUUGCGUGUGAGGGGACUGUUGGAAAGGAGUGGAGAAAAUCAUCCAGAAUCAAGCAGAGUCAUCUUGCACAAGAGAGUUCACUCACAGAAGUUGCCUCUGUCCAAUUUCGGGUGAUUUAUCACAGCACUCACCCCCCACCCCAUUGCAUGCUGUUGGGAGAGGACCCCAUCCCUCCAUUAUGCACAUAGUUUCCUGGACUUUAUUUCAACUCAUAGGCCUAACAUACUUCAGGCAGUGCUGUUAAUAUAAUAAGUCUUGAGGAAACAGAUAUUAAAGGAAACAACAAUCACCACAUAUUCCUAUUAUAAUUAUACCAGCCUUCUUCUUUUUAUUGGAUUUGGGAUUGUUGUCUUUCAUAUCCCUCUCCCUUAAUUCCUUCUGCAGCAGAAAUAUCUGCAGGCAACAAUUUUCUAUUUUCUGGUUUUUCUUCUCCUUUUCUGACUCUAGUAAAAUGAUGUCAACAAAAGACAGAAUUUCAGUCAUGGGAAUCUUACCUUUUAAAGAGAAAGAUGCUGAAUGUUUGGAGUGGUACAAGCUAACCUUUAAUUAUGGCCAAAUCCAAUCAGCUGCUGUUGUGGACAUAGUAGCUCAAAAUACUAGAACUAAGUAUUAAGUUAGUGCUAGGACAUAACAGUGCAAUGACAUAACUGGCACAUUCAGGCCUAUGAUGGCUAUAUUCAAAUAUCUAAAGGGCUGUCACAGGGAAGAUGGGGCAAGCUUGUUUUCUCCUUCUCUGGAAGAAUAUUGGGAAGAUCUUUCUGACUUGUAAGAGCUGUUUGACCUCAGGGACCCUUCCAACUCUACAGUUCUAGGAAUCCAUGCUUAUCUGGAGCCAGGCUGCAGAGCAAUGAAGUCACAGCUGUGCAUAGCUCUACAUUUUCUUGUCCUGGAAAUAAAAUCUCAGUAGUAGACUGUAAAACUGCUUUCAGAGCUUCUGAACAUUGAUGAGGGAGGGGGCCAUGUGUCUACAAAUCUACCCACCAGCUUUCCAGGAGCAAGUGUGUCUGGUCUUCUUGGUGAGAAGGAUGUUGGGCAGUACACAGCCCUCUCCCUUGAGCUCUUUAGUUGUAAUGAUGCUUAGCUUAGAGAUGUCAGCAAGUUCUCCUAAGGGGAACUUUGCAGGUUUGUUUCCUUUUUUGCCACCAACUUUUUGCUGAGCACUCUUCUCUUCUCUCUGUCUGAGUAUUAGCCUCACCACUAUCUAAAAAAUCUUCAGCUUGUGUCUUAAUUAAUGUAUGCAACGUUCUUUGCUGAAAAGCACACCUUCUCCCAUUUACCAUCUGGUGCUGACUGUUACAGAGCUUCGUUACCUAUAAAGAAAUGAUUGUUGGAUGAAAGGUGACAAGUGCCACACAGAUACGUUCAGUAGCUAGCAAAUAUGACAAGGGAGACUUGAAAAGCUGAUGGCAAAGUAAACAAUUCUGCCUUAGGUGGGUUGCAUUUGAGCAAGAAAUCCCCACCCCAUAAGAAUAUUGCUCUUUAUACAGAAACAAUGACAAAUAAUCUGUCAUGCAUGGCUCCUUUCAGGAACAUUCAAGAUCUUACACCAGUUGUUCAGAAGUGACAAGGACAAGUUUGGCUCCCCCCUCUUGAAUCUCUAAUGGCACUUACCUGACAUGGUUGUGUCAUAAUAACCUUAUUUUUUCCACUUCCUGUUCCACAGUGUUAGCUGCCACAAGUGGAGGCAGGGAUGCUGUCAUGUCAGGACUCACAAAACUUACUCGGAGGAGGGGGAAGAUAAAAAUGCUGUUUAUGGUAACAGCCAUCACUUUAGAGUUGUGUCUAGUUUGGCCCUAAGGAUGGAAUCAUACUUUACCUCAGCAGUGACAUGUUCCCAAACUCAUCUUUGCAAAGAUAUUUCAGUUGCAGAGAAGAUGGACCAUUUGCUGGAGUAUGCUUAUCUCUUUCUGUGUCCCCCAGCCCCCCACUGAAAAUUCAGUCAGACUGAUAUCAAACAGUUAAAAGUGACCAAGUUAAAAGUAUUUGCAAGGAAAAUUAGUGAUUGGGGGAGGGGUUAAGCACUUACUCCCCCAUAAGUUGUUUGUUGUUUAGUCGUUUAGUUGUGUCCGACUCUUCGUGACCCCAUAGACCAGAGCACGCCAGGCCUCCCGCAGUUUGGUCAAACUCAUGCUGGUAGCUUCAAGAACACUGUCCAACCAUCUCGUCCUCUGCCAUCCCCUUCUCCUUGUGCCCUCCAUCUUUCCCAACAUCAGGGUCUUUUCCAGGGAGUCUUCUCUUCUCAUGAGGUGGCCAAAGUAUUGGAGCCUCAGCUUCACGAUCUGUCCUUCCAGUGAGCACUCAGGGCUGGAACCCCUAAAACAACACAUGGGGGAAGCAGAGAGGGGAUCAUUCCAUCUGGCAAGCUGAAAUACUUCUGCACAUGCACCCUAAAUGAAUGUAGUGUUACAAAAGUUUACACCACCCCCAAUCUCUGCCAGCUGUAGCAUAUUACAGCAUGGUCAUCUCAACAGGAGCUUGUUCCCCACUGGAGUCCAAGGCAUUUUUCCCAGCCUGCCAUAAUUAUUCUCUCUCUCUUUUUUAGCUAUUCCAAGCCUGGUGCCAAAGGCCCCAAAUUCUUCCUGUGACAUCAUGCCCAGUUACCCUGGCAAUCUUCCAAAUACCCUGUCUCUGUUCACACUGGAUGUGUGUCUUGGGUUCCGUGACACAAAAAAAGGCAGAAUAUAUAACUAUAAGUAAAUAAGGGCCUAUUAUUAUAAUGGGCUGCAAUGGAUCAAAUCUCCAGAGCCCUCUUUCCGUUCUAGAUUUUUCUGUUCUUGCAAUUGCUGUUUAAAGGUUCUGCUCAGGAAACUUGCAUUACCAUAUGUGCUCAGCUAUGCAAGUCUUGUAAUUGGGUUAAGGACAGGAGUAGAUAUGAUUUAUGUGAUUGAUUAAUUCUGGGCUAUCUGUGGACAUGUAUAAUGUAUAAAAAAUGGGACCAACAGAUAGUUGUAUUUAGAGAAUUUAUCCUAGUUCUGUAUGAGGAGCUUCCACUGUAAAUGAGCCUUUUUUGGCUGAACAAAGAUGAAUACUGUAUACAUGUUACCAACGUGUGUGUGUGUGUGUGCGCGUGCACGCGCACUGUGAUGAAGCUGUUGUACCCUUUUUCUCACAUUUCGGCAGCCAUUUGAAAUUUCAAGCUUUCAUCAUUGCAGUUGUCCUUAAAAAAGAGAUACACUUUGAAAUUAAGUGAACAACUGGCAAAAGCUAAGCAGCUGAGCAAAAGCUUAGGACUUGAGGCUCAUAGAUCAUGAAGUGCUUUUGAAUGCCGAAUAUAGCAUCUGAUUAUUUUGGAGACUGGCAGUCUGAGAGCAUCUUCCUAAAAAGAGAGAAGAGAGAAAGGCAGAAUUAUUUAUUCUGUUUAUGUGUGAAGUACAAGAGAAAAUUUAAAAUGGGAUUAGCAUAUAACUUUCCAAGAAGGAAUAUGCAAAAGAAUUUUUUAAAACCCAACCCUGGUCUAAUUUCAGUUCUCCAACAAUAGUCUCAAGCCAUUAGAGGAGGAGGAUAAUGUGACCAGGCACAUUUCCCCCCUCAGUGUGUAUGAAAAGCUGGCAUGUUUCCUCAUUAGCUGCUAGCUGCCUUAUUCUUCACUGCAAUGUUAUUCUGCAGAAGACAUGCUAAAGCCAUCAAAUUAUACAAAAUCUUAUGACGGUGGUGGUUUGAAGAAAGAAAACCCCUAUUAUAUUGCUAUAGAUUCCCUUCCCAUAUUGCGUUUUAUGAUGCUUUCUACCAUAACAGGAACAUUCAGUGGCUGCCUUCUAAAUCUACAACCAGAUAAUUAGCUGGCAUCAGAAUGGAGCAAAGAAUCCUGCUUUUAAUGAUUCUAACACUAUAUUAAUUUGUUUUAGUACAAUUCCGCUGAGACAAAGAAAUCUGGAAACACCAUGGACUACUGUAAUGCACUCUAUGUGGGGCUACCUUUGAAGGUGACCCGGAAACUACAAUUAAUCCAGAAUGCGGCAGCUAGACUGGUGACUGGGAGUGGCUGCUGAGACCAUAUAACACUGGUACUGAAACAUUGGCUCCCAGUACAUUUCCAAGCACAAUUCAAAGUGUUGGUGCUGACCUUUAGAGUCCUAAAUGCCUCGGCCGAGUAUACCUGAAGGAGCGCCUCCACGCCCCAUCGUUCAGCCCAGACAUUGAGGUAUAGCGCCGAGGCCUUCUGGCAGUUCCCUCACUGCAAGAAGUGAGGUUACAGGGAACCAGGCAGAGGGCCUUCUCAGUAGUGGCACCUGCCCUGUGGAAUCAUAGAAUCAUAGAGUUGGAAGAGACCACAAGGGCCAUCGAGUCCAACCCCCUGCCAAGCAGGAAACACCAUCAGAGCACUCCUGACAUAUGGUUGUCAAGCCUCUGCUUAGAAGGAGACUCCACCACACUCCUUGGCAGCAAAUUCCACUGUCGAACAGCUCUUACUGUCAGGAAGUUCUUCCUAAUGUUUAGGUGGAAUCUUCUUUCUUGUAGUUUGGAUCCAUUGCUCCGUGUCCGCUUCUCUGGAGCAGCAGAAAACAACCUUUCUCCCUCCUCUAUGUGACAUCCUUUCAUAUAUUUGAACAUGGCUAUCAUAUCACCCCUUAACCGCCUCUUCUCCAGGCUAAACAUGCCCAGCUCCCUUAGCCGUUCCUCAUAAGGCAUCGUUUCCAGGCCUUUGACCAUUUUGGUUGCCCUCCUCUGGACACGUUCUAGUUUGUCAGUGUCCUUCUUGAAUUGUGGUGCCCAGAAGUGGACACAGUACUCCAGGUGAGGUCUGACCAGAGCAGAAUACAGUGGCACUAUUACUUCCCUUGAUCUAGAUGCUAUACUCCUAUUGAUGCAGCCCAGAAUUGCAUUGGCUUUUUUAGCUGCCGCGUCACACUGUUGGCUCAUGUCAAGUUUGUGGUCAACCAAGACUCCUAGAUCCUUUUCACAUGUACUGCUCUCAAGCCAGGUGUCACCCAUCUUGUAUUUGUGCCUCUCAUUUUUUUUGCCCAAGUGCAAUACUUUACAUUUCUCCCUGUUAAAAUUCAUCUUGUUUGUUUUGGCCCAGUUCUCUAAUCUGUCGUUUUGAAGUGUGAUACUGUCCUCUGGGGUGUUAGCCACCCCUCCCAGUUUGGUGUCAUCUGCAAAUUUGAUCAGGAUGCCCUUGAGUCCAUCAUCCAAGUCGUUGAUAAAGAUGUUGAAUAAGACCGGGCCCAAGACAGAACCCUGUGGCACCCCACUAGUCACUCUCCCAUCAGAUGUCAAGGAAAUAAACAACUAUCUUACUUUUAGAAGACACCUGAAGAAAAUCCUGUUUAGGGAAGUUUUUAAUGUUUGAUGUUUUAUCAUGUUUUUAAUAUUCUGUUGGGAGCUGCCCAGAGUGGCUGGAGAAACCCAGCCAGAUGGGCGGGGUAUAAAUAAAAGAUGUUAAUAUUAAUAUUAAUACUAAUAUCAAUUCAAAACCAUUUACUCUGAUUGACCCCCUUCCCCACACCACAUUUGUUGCUACCUUAUGCAAGCUCGAGUCUCAACAUAGACAACAAACAUCUAUAACCCUUUGCAGGGCUCCAAUGGGGUGGGUGGGUAGAGGGGAUAUACAUUUACUGGGCUAGCAGACUUAGCUUUCUUUCUUUCUUUCUUUCUUUCUUUCUUUCUUUCUUUCUUUCUUUCUUUUAUUAAGUCCAUAGGACAUUUCUGAAGAAAGAGCACCAUAAGCAGAGGUAGGCAGCACACUUGCUAAGGAUGUUCAGUGACUUAAUCACUGCUGCUAGGUGAUCAGGGAAGAACUGUUGACCACUUCUACCUGGGACUCAGGAGGGAGCCAUCCUGGAGCAGCAAAAAAACCCAGGAGAGGCUCUUUGCUGCCAGCCUGAUGCUGGAUUGAGGAGGAUACUGGGGUGUGUUUGCUUAAGCAUUUUCCUUUGUGUCCAGAUUAUUUCAUUUAUUCUCAAAGUGUGCUGUCUUUACAUUGGUUGGUUGACCUCCAUCUGUUUCAGGAGACAGUGGAAAAGUGAUAAAACACAAUUGUCUGGCUUUGGUAUGUUUUACUCAAAAGUAACUCCCUUGAAUUAAACUUCCUUCCUACUUAGAGAAAAAAAUGUUGCUUUUGCACAAACUAACAAAAAUUCGAGCUUUGACAGUUCCCCCACUCAGCCAGCCACUAUUGGUCUGCUUACCAUCAUCAGGCUGCUAUUUAGUAAUAUUCAGUAACCAUAAGCAAAAUUAUACAGAAUGAAUCAGCAAACACCUUACAGCUACAGCAAGUUAAAAUCCCUACAUUCUCUUUGCUUACAGACAAGUGUGGUGCAACAAGGGCACCUCAUCCUACUGACCCAUUAUCACCUUAUGUACAGGAAACUGGCUUUGGCCGCCUCCUGGCGAUGAUCAUAUAUUGAGCUAAGACUUAGCAAUGCGAAGUAGUACCAUAAGCAGCUGUAUUAUUCUGAAAGGACACAGAUCCUUUCUAAUUUAUGACUUGGAACAGAAAUAUUAAGUGGACCAGUGGUGACCAAACCUCUUGGCCACUGCAUCUUGGGCCAAGUCUGAGGUGUCUGAUACUGCCACUUUAAAAAUCCUGUCAACUGCAACUCUCUUUUUCCUGCCACUCCAGCACUAUGGUGCAGCAAAAAUUAGUUUUAUAACUUUUUCUUUUGUUUGCUAUUUGCCAAAAAGGCUGGCACAACAGAUGGAAGGGAAGACAGUUAUUCUGUUAUUUCUUCUUAAUGUUUGCGCGCGCGCGCGCGCACGCACACACACACAGAGUAUUUUCCCGUGUAUAACACGCACCCAUGUAUAAGACAACCCCUAUUUUUGGGAGUCCAAUUUAAGAAAAUGGGAGGAGAUGGCUCAGAGUUGUUGAGCUUUUUAGGGAGGGGAUUGCCAGAGUUGUUGAGCUUUUUGGCGGGGCGAGGGGGAUGCAAAAAAAACAACCCUCACCCGACUGACAAAGGCUGCCAAUCGCACACGAAGCCAAAACUGCCAAGCGUCUGCCUGCUCACAACUAUGGACGACAAUCGUAGGAACAAUUGUUGCAGUGGCAGCCAAUCCACAACAACCCUUGCCGCAGCCACCAUUCACCUACACAAUUGCUGCUGACAAGCUCCUGCUUGCGGCUGCAACCAAUCUGCACUAUCCAUGUAUAAGAUGACACCUGAUUUUGAACAUUACUUUAGAGUAAAAAACCCCUCAUCUUCUAUAUGGAAAAGUACGGUAGUUCAUGUAUUAUUAUUAUUAUUUUUUGAAAAAAAUGCUAUCAAAAUGCAAAAGAUAUUGUGUGAAAAUGACAGACAAACGGAAGUGAGACAAUAGUGGUCAGAUGAUUAGGAGCUGAAUCAACAUAGCAGCUGUUUAAGUAUUGUCAGGUUUUGUUUUUGCAUCCUGCAGCUUCCAAAAGUGUAACUAUGGUAAACAAAACACUUGUGCAAUUAUCAUUCCUGUGAUAAGUGUGUGUGUGUUUGUGUAAGUAGUGUUUUCUCACUAUGCCAAGCUUAUCUCUGUCUAGAAAAAAAUAAUGAAUGAGCCUUCUCAUGUUAGUGAUAGCACCACAGAUCCUUAAAGGGUUCCCUAAAGAGUCCAGAUGUGUGAGCUUUGCUGAUGUGAGAAGUUCUAUUGUAAGACGUCCAGCAGUUUGGUACUUCCUGCAAGGUACAGGUAUAGGAUAAUUUUAACUUAACCUGAGGGGGGAAAGUCACAGAUGGGUGGUGAUUAAUGCUGCUUUGUUCCUCAAAGUGUUGAUGUGGCAAAGUGUCCAAAUGCCAUUGUUUUCUGCAGUCUCAGGGCAACCAUUAUAGUUGCAAAAUUAAGCAUACUCUUAAGUGCUUUGUGGGACUGUGCCUCAGAACAGAUAAAGCUUUGGUAAAAACUGGUUGAGGAGUAGUGGGGGGGGGAGUCUUUGCUGAGCCAAUUUGUGUCCACAAAACAUAAUGCAGGGGCCUUGUAGAGUGUGUGUGUGUGUGUGUGUGUGUGUGUGUGUGUGUUUGUUUGUUUCUUAGAGCUUUUCUCCACAUGGAUUUCUCAUCUAAAAUAAAUUAUUGGUUUAAGUGUGAAACAAGCAUAAGCCCUUUGAAGAUGACAGGCCCGGGAAAGCUGAUCUCAACCAGACUUUCAGGGACAAGUGUCCAUUUGUCCACUAGGGGCACUGAGUUGGCAUCUAAGCCCUAGCCAUUGUUGUCUCUGAUGUUGUCUGGAGAGUCUGAUGGACAACUUGCUGGACUCUUUAAGAUACGAACAAUGACCAUUUUCUUGGCAUAAGUUCUUAAGGAAGGACUGCCAUAAAAAAGAAGGCUGGGCCUUCUAAGGCGGUACAUCAUAGCAGGAAAAUGGUAAUGCUUUUUUUACUGGAACUGGAACAUAGCUUGGAAAACCCAAUGACUGUCAGAACUUUAAAAUUUGUCAGAAGACCCCAGACUGUGGAGGCUCUUGCACUAGAGCUACUGGGGGCAAAGCACAUAAAAAAAAAUAUCCUGUCCACAGAUGUGCAAAGAAUAAUUGGUGUCUUUUAAUGAGGAGAUAAUGGCACUCAGCACAUUUAUAAUGACACAUUUCCUGUACGGGUCUCACUGUGAUGAAGGCAGCAAGGAUAAAAUUGCAGCCCUACCAAGUCAAAAUGUUACCAGCUGCCACCAGACCCCAUGAUGUGCCGCAUCAAUAAAUACUUAAAACAAUAAUAGUAAACCAUAGUGAAAUAUCAGCAGUUGGUCAGUACACAGGCCAGAGUCUCAGCAUUAAUGCACAGGGAAGCCCUCAGCAUUAUUUUUUUUUUGGGGGGGGGUGUUGUUAGAAAUUAUUUUUGUUUGAAGUUUGCUUGUUUAUUAUUCCAUCAACCUAUUUAUGUACUUUGGGCAUUAUGCUUCCAUAUGUUUAACUGCUAGCCCCCAUGUAAUAUUUUAGUUUUGAAAUAAAAAACUGAAAAUUAAUUUAAAAAAUUAUGGAGCACUUUGUCUAAAUAAAGACCAUUUCGUAUUCUACUGCACCAUGACUACUAAAUAACUCCCUGCCUGUUUUAUUGAUUGAUGGUCCUAGGCAUGAGCAGGAUCAACUUCCUAGUUCUUUGAUGUGGUAAAGUUUCAGAGUCCAGGUUCUAUACAAGACUACAGAAAAGGUACAAUGAAUUUGAAGGAUGUUGUCCUAAGACCAUCUGUGUGUAAACCAGAGAAACUAAAAUCUAAUUAAGGAUUGCCACAGCAGGCUUUAUGACACCACCACCCGCAUGAAGAAGUAUGGCAAUAACCUUACUGUCUCAAAGAAAAGCUAUAGGGAGCUUCUGAUUCUACCCAGAUGCCACUAAAUCCAGUGCCACCUAGUGACUAAAAUAUAUAAUGACACUAUACAUAAGCACAUUUAGAAUAACAUGCUAAUUCUGGCCCUUUUGCCAUAUUAAUGAGUAGAUAGAUAAAUUUAUUAAGUUUAUAUCCCACCUUUCCUCUAAGAAGCUCAAUAAUGGUGUACAUGGUUUUUCUCCUUCCCCUUUUGACCUCACAAUAACCCUGGGAGGUUGGUUAAGCUCAGAGACAAUGACUGGCCCAAGGGAUUUGAACUCUGGUCUCCCAAGGUCCUAGUCCAGCACUGUAACCAUUACACUACACUGCCUCGCUACCAAAACAUGCCCAGUUCCCAUGAGUAACAAUGGCAAUCUGUAAACAUCUGAACAGUUUCACAGUCAGAGUUGAAGAUUAACAUUUGCGCCUACUCCCUUUCUUGGCCAAAAUAUUCAUUCCUGCUUAAUUUUUCUUAUUUAUGCAAACUUCUGUCAGCAUUUGACAUGGCUGGCUUCACCAGAGUGUUUCUGAUGCUAACAAAGUGUUUCCAAAAGGGUUUGAGGGGGGAAAGUUAUAUAUUUCCUGUCAUUUAUCAAGAUAAAUUGGUUUCAUUGCUUUGUGGAAAAGACUCCAUCAAUUUAUAUGAAAGUGAAGAAAGAGGAGGAGGGGAACUUUUUAUAUGUGAGGAUUAAAUAAUGGCUUUCCUUAGCAGAUUUUUCUUCACUUUGCAUUCCCGAUUAAAAAUAUCUAUUUUAGUUUAGUCUUUCAAAAUGAGGAAAUGGGUCUGUGGUUGUUCGUUGUAAUGUUGGUGCCACGCACAGCUUUGUUACUAACGUUUAUUUAUUGUGCAUAUCUUAGCUUUAUAAAGGAUAGGUUCCAAAAAGAAGAAGACAAGAGCUAGCGCAUUUGAAUAAUGUAUCUGACAUUUCUUAAUACAGGGCCAAGAACUUGGUUUAUCAUACCUGAAAGAACAGAGCAUGCAUGAUUUCCACCUAGUGCUGUUCCCAUGUCUCCUACAAGCCAUUCAAGCUUUGCCAUUAAGAAAAAUGUCACUUACGUUUUUUUCUCUCAUCAUAAAAUUAAAAAUUCAAAGUCAAUCUCUUUAGCAUAUGACAUGGAUCAAGG